RNAcentral lists this ribosomal RNA (20 nucleotides) under Calamagrostis cainii. RNAcentral's name for it is "partial 26S ribosomal RNA". Lineage: Eukaryota; Viridiplantae; Streptophyta; Magnoliopsida; Poales; Poaceae. The record is from RNAcentral.
CCGACCGCGACCCCAGGUCA